CUUCCGAUCGCGUUGUUACAUGGACCUGCGAGGCCACGUUGCCCCAUUUACAGUUUAUUUCCGACUAAAAUUGACAGGCAUGAAAACAAUAAUCUUCUUAAAAUAAAAGCACAACGGCAACGUCGCCAAACCCUCCGUCCACUAUCGUUAAUGAGCAACGGGGGGCUAGUUAAUAAACAAUAAGGGUCCGGCUGCGCCCCACGUGACCCCACCCCUCAUCCCACGCCCACUCUGGGCGUCUUCAGAACAAUCGAAGGCGACGACACCUGUCAGCCGUCUAUCAUCCGUGGCAGCGUUACGUCACAAGAUCGCGAAUACUAGCCGGCUAACAGAAACACCGCGGAGGUGUAGAAAACGCGAACGAUUAAAACGGGUGCGAGUGAGAUGGAGCGAGGAGCUUGGGAACGCGUUAGGGAGGUAUUGUUGCAUAGUUAACGUUAACAUUACCGUAUCGGUUUAAGUUCGUCCAAAAUGGUGUGCUAAAAAUGUCAACGUUGUGACAAUUGUCAGUGGGUAUCGUAGCUAUAGCGCCAUCUAUUUGCCGUGUAGCUUAAUAAGAGGUUAUUAGCUCAAUAAUUGUGGAAAAAGGGGCGGAGUUCAGAGGGGGUACACUCUUGGACGCUGGCAAUAACUUUAAAUUCAUACUAAAUAAAUGAAAGCAAAUUAACUGGUUCUAGGAAUUUUGUUACAUUAUCAAAGUCGUGCGGCAACAUUGCAUAUACUUAAACGAACUGACAAUUGACACUAAUGACAGGCAUAUGUUAGGUUAUGUUACAUUGUUUUGGUGCUUUUUAGUUGUUUUGAAGAAAAAGACGCAUAUUUUGAUUAAACUAUGAGUUUUCGUAAAGAUAUUCUUAUUUUUUAAAUUAUUUGCAUCCCGGACAAGGGAAAAAAUGCAAAUUAACGGAUUAUCCUCUAGAUUAACCAAGUUUUUACUGAAAACUGCACCCUAGUAGUACCCCUUUACCUGUCAGGUAUUUUUUUUUCAUGUUUUCUUGUCAGUUGUCAGCUUGAGGAACCAACAUCCCUCCAAGCGUUUAGGCCCCAAAAGUCAAAAUUUCAGCGUUUUAACACAACAAUGCAGAAUAUACACCGCCCAUUGAGGUUUGUGCCGCAAUACAGCAGAUUUCUAUCAAGUAAACCUCAAUUAAAAGCUGUAUGUGCUGUUGACAAAAAUAAACAGGUGAUUACCAAUAAUGGAGAUUUGGCAAAGAUUCUGAAGGCUCGUGCAGGUUCGAAGCAGUAUGAGCCUUGUAUAGUUAGGAAUAGCGGUAUUAUGUGUAGUGCCAAAACCCCCUCGAGAAAAGUUGACGAGGAGUCCAUCGUAUUUAAGCAGUACAGGCUCCUGGAGACUUUGAAAGGUAAACUGAGUGAAGAAAAUGCCUUAAGGCAAGCAGAAAUUAGGAGACAACGCGAGGCAAUAAAUGAAAAUUUGAAACUUUGUGCAGAAAUUGACACAAAACUGCAGACAUUCUUUUGAAAACAAGAACAAAAUGGGCAGCAUUGUCUAGGUUCUUGUACUUAAAUAAUUAAAAAAAGAAAUAAAACACAUUAUAAUUUGCAUUAAA
Molecule: long non-coding RNA, 1568 nt
Organism: Anthonomus grandis grandis
Lineage: Eukaryota; Metazoa; Arthropoda; Insecta; Coleoptera; Curculionidae
Exons: 2
Source: RefSeq, a predicted model, not a curated record